Long non-coding RNA from Gallus gallus (chicken), 1154 nucleotides. Lineage: Eukaryota; Metazoa; Chordata; Aves; Galliformes; Phasianidae. The record is from Ensembl.
CUCUGGACAUCUUGCCCUUUAUUUACUGAAAAGAAGACAACAUCUUUUCUCAGGGCUGAAACCCCUAUUGCAGUUCCAACACGUGUCUAUUUAUCAGGAGAAAAGCUGAAUAUUUCCACUAUCACAAGAUUAUUGCCAGUGCUCGGAUUUUUCCCUAACCUCCAGCUAAAAUCCUCUGAGCUAACGCUCUGAAAAUGGAACGGCAUACCAAAUCUGCGCUCUGGCUCUCAGAGGUGGAGGCCCACCCUUUCUCCCAAUAAACAAUUUUGCAUACGUUUAAACCUCCCUCCUCUGGUUUCCCAACUCCUCCUGCCUGACCCCCCCAGCAAAGAAAUUACGGAAAUCUGUCAUUUCUCUCUUUUCCCUCGCACCUCCAUCUAUCAGUGUUUCGAAGGCAGUCUCCUCAAAUGCAGAGCAGAGCAGGAGAUGGGCAGCGGUAAUGGGAAUGUGCUCCUGACUGUGCAAACCCACACAGAGAGUGAGGACAGGAGAGACUGCAUUUGCAUACAUAUUAAACGAGAGCAGUAAAAAAUGCAGACGUGCAAACCAUUUGGACAUGGCUCGCCUCGGCAAUGUGCCCUGCAAGGGAAUCAAUCUUCUGCAUUCUUAAAGGGAAAAACCUGUUACGGAGCGAAAAGCAAAGCCAGAAAGACGUCCGCUUACAAACACGGUCAAGGUUUGAAGACGAUCUGACCUUCUGCCUUUGCCAACCACGACCUGCUGUGCAAAGGUACACAUAGGAGGGUGAGACCUGGCAUGAACCAACUGCUGUCACUGGUGAGAGAUCUCCCAGGACCCCAUCCUGAGUGGGAACUGGAGCAAGAGUUCCAAGCUCCACGUGCCCACCUGUGAGGGCAACGCAGAGACCUUCCUGAGAUGGCCCAAGCCAGGCUGCAGGGAAGAACUAAGUGACAUCUGGAUAUGCUGAAGAAGCCCAAACCCUGUGUCCCAGUGCCUUCACCUACUGAAAAGAAAGGGCAGCGGAGAGAAUCGCAAAGAGGGAACCCGGGGGUUUCCCCCCAGAAGUGGGAUCUGUGCCUCGCCAGAGACACGAAGGCAGAGCAAAGCAGAGUUCAAGAAAACAUCAGAAAGACGUUAUUGAAUAGCUGUCAUUUGGCAAGUAUAAAUGUAUCAGCGAUUGUGUUGAUAGGAGG